GGAGAAGACACACUCAGAGAAUCAAGACUCUCCUAUGAGCAGGCUGGGUAUGUUUUCAUUUCUGCCAGUCCUCUGGGGAGUGCCUUUUUUAAGGUGCUGAGAAGAACGGUUAUCAGAAGAAGAAACACAAACAGGAAUGGCUUUUCAUCCUGGUUUCAGGAAGAAUAAGAACAAUUCACAGAGCCAAGCCGCAAGGGAGUUGUUCUGAGACUAGAAAUCUAUUCAGAAAGAGACACAGCGAGAGAGGGAACACAAGCAGGGGGAGUGGGAAAGGGAGAAGCAG
Long non-coding RNA from Zalophus californianus (California sea lion), 283 nucleotides. RefSeq lists it as uncharacterized. Lineage: Eukaryota; Metazoa; Chordata; Mammalia; Carnivora; Otariidae. The record is from RefSeq and is a predicted model, not a curated record. The transcript is spliced from 3 exons.